UACGUAGGGGGCAAGCGUUGUCCGGAUUUACUGGGCGUAAAGCGCGUGUAGGCGGGAGAUUAAGUUGGGUGUGAAAGCCCGGGGCUCAACCCCGGGAUGCCGCCCAAGACUGGUCUCCUUGAGGACGGAAGAGGGGAGUGGAAUUCCUGGUGUAGCGGUGAAAUGCGUAGAGAUCAGGAGGAACACCCGUGGCGAAGGCGGCUCCCUGGUCCGUUUCUGACGCUGAGACGCGAAAGCGCGGGGAGCGAACGGG
This 253-nucleotide ribosomal RNA is filed under the name uncultured bacterium. RNAcentral describes it as "partial 16S ribosomal RNA". It matches the Rfam family "Bacterial small subunit ribosomal RNA", at positions 524 to 776 of the family's 1533-position model. The record is from RNAcentral.